This 253-nucleotide ribosomal RNA is filed under the name uncultured bacterium. RNAcentral's name for it is "partial 16S ribosomal RNA". It matches the Rfam family "Bacterial small subunit ribosomal RNA", at positions 524 to 776 of the family's 1533-position model. The record is from RNAcentral.
UACGUAGGUGGCAAGCGUUGUCCGGAAUUACUGGGUGUAAAGCGCGUGUAGGCGGGAGGCCAAGUCUGCUGUGAAAUCGCUCGGCUCAACUGGGCGGGGUCGGUGGAAACUGGUCACCUGGAGGACGGUAGAGGCGAGUGGAAUUCCCGGUGUAGUGGUGAAAUGCGUAGAGAUCGGGAGGAACACCAGUGGCGAAGGCGGCUCGCUGGGCCGGUCCUGACGCUGAGGAGCGAAAGCCAGGGGAGCAAACGGG